RNAcentral lists this ribosomal RNA (400 nucleotides) under uncultured prokaryote. RNAcentral describes it as "bacterial SSU rRNA". It matches the Rfam family "Bacterial small subunit ribosomal RNA", at positions 355 to 774 of the family's 1533-position model. The record is from RNAcentral.
UGGGGAAUAUUGCACAAUGGGGGAAACCCUGAUGCAGCAACGCCGCGUGAGUGACGAAGGUUUUCGGAUCGUUAAGCUCUGUCCUCAAGGAAGAUAAUGACGGUACUUGAGGAGGAAGCCCCGGCUAACUACGUGCCAGCAGCCGCGGUAAUACGUAGGGGGCUAGCGUUAUCCGGAUUUACUGGGCGUAAAGGGUGCGUAGGCGGUCUUUUAAGUCAGGAGUGAAAGGCUACGGCUCAACCGUAGUAAGCUCUUGAAACUGGAGGACUUGAGUGCAGGAGAGGAGAGUGGAAUUCCUAGUGUAGCGGUGAAAUGCGUAGAUAUUAGGAGGAACACCAGUAGCGAAGGCGGCUCUCUGGACUGUACUGACGCUGAGGCACGAAAGCGUGGGGAGCAAACA